GAAAAAGCAGGGCUUUGUUGCCUUUUUGUGAAUAAAGCUCUCGUAUAUGUCAGGGAAAUUACGGGCAUUGUUCUUGGGUGAACCUCUGUAGAAUUUAGUGACUAAUGGUUCAGUAAAUGAUGCCACAUUU
Small nucleolar RNA from Arabis alpina (gray rockcress), 130 nucleotides. It matches the Rfam family "Small nucleolar RNA snoR74". The record is from Rfam. NCBI's taxonomy places the organism in Eukaryota, Viridiplantae, Streptophyta, Magnoliopsida, Brassicales, Brassicaceae.